Long non-coding RNA from Sander lucioperca (pikeperch), 370 nucleotides. RefSeq lists it as uncharacterized. NCBI's taxonomy places the organism in Eukaryota, Metazoa, Chordata, Actinopteri, Perciformes, Percidae. The transcript has 2 exons. The record is from RefSeq and is a predicted model, not a curated record.
UCUAUCUAUCUAUGAGAACGUUCCACAGAAUGGUCUAGAAUGGGACUUGGACUUGGUGUCAUUGGUUGAUGCAGCAGAUAUUAAAAAGGACAGCGGUAAAAAAAAUAAAAUGACAAGCAGCUUUGUUUUCUGUUCAGUUACAGUGGAUUGUCAUUGUCAAUUGCCAAACAAUGGGAGUCUUGUGAAUGGCAGCCAUGCAAAAGAAUAUACCGUAUGAAUACAUGGCAUGAAUUAUACACGUCAGUGUCAGGUGAAAACCUUGUAUGUAUUUACCUCAGAUGAAGUCAGAUUUAAUUACUUUGUUUCUGUUGAAAUAUUUGUAAAAGAUAUAGACAUAUGUAAAUGGUGAGCAAUAGCAUUGUUUUAUGAA